Molecule: ribosomal RNA, 551 nt
Filed under: uncultured bacterium
Lineage: Bacteria
Description: bacterial SSU rRNA
Rfam family: Bacterial small subunit ribosomal RNA
Source: RNAcentral
UAGGGAAUCUUCGGCAAUGGGGGCAACCCUGACCGAGCAACGCCGCGUGAGUGAAGAAGGUUUUCGGAUCGUAAAGCUCUGUUGUAAGAGAAGAACGAGUGUGAGAGUGGAAAGUUCACACUGUGACGGUAACUUACCAGAAAGGGACGGCUAACUACGUGCCAGCAGCCGCGGUAAUACGUAGGUCCCGAGCGUUGUCCGGAUUUAUUGGGCGUAAAGCGAGUGCAGGCGGUUCAAUAAGUCUGAUGUGAAAGCCUUCGGCUCAACCGGAGAAUUGCAUCAGAAACUGUUGAACUUGAGUGCAGAAGAGGAGAGUGGAACUCCAUGUGUAGCGGUGGAAUGCGUAGAUAUAUGGAAGAACACCAGUGGCGAAGGCGGCUCUCUGGUCUGCAACUGACGCUGAGGCUCGAAAGCAUGGGUAGCGAACAGGAUUAGAUACCCUGGUAGUCCAUGCCGUAAACGAUGAGUGCUAAGUGUUGGGAGGUUUCCGCCUCUCAGUGCUGCAGCUAACGCAUUAAGCACUCCGCCUGGGGAGUACGACCGCAAGGUUG